This 221-nucleotide long non-coding RNA is filed under the name Capsella rubella. RNAcentral describes it as "long non-coding RNA (CRUB_LNC002652)". The record is from RNAcentral. Lineage: Eukaryota; Viridiplantae; Streptophyta; Magnoliopsida; Brassicales; Brassicaceae.
UUAUGUGUGUAUCUUAGGAUUAAUUUAGUAUUAAAUUUAAAAAGUGUAGAAUUUAAGAUUUGUAUUUUUUUUUUUUUAGUUUGAUGUGUGUUUGUUGGUAGGUUCUUAAGUUUAGGUUCUUCGAAAAAAUAUAUUUUUAACAAAAUAAUAAAUUUUAAUUUUAGAAAACUUAAUAAUUAUUGCAAAUUCAAAAAUUUUAAAACAUACAUGAAAUACAAUUU